Molecule: non-coding RNA, 3261 nt
Organism: Delphinapterus leucas (beluga whale)
Lineage: Eukaryota; Metazoa; Chordata; Mammalia; Artiodactyla; Monodontidae
Source: RefSeq, a predicted model, not a curated record
CGGUGCUAUAGGGAAGACAAAAUUAAUAAUUACAAAGUGUCAUACAACCAAGAUGGAGUAACAGGUACUGGAUUUUCCCUCCCACACAAAACAACCAAACAAUGAACAAAAUAUAUGAAACAAGAGUUCGCAAGACAGAGAUCAUCAGGCAACGAAGAACAGUGAUUCCUGAGGGGGGGCACCUCAAGAGGUAAGCCUGAGGGCUGCCCAGCGUACUGCCUUGAGAGCGUUUCCAGGCUGCGGUGCUGGGAGGGGACCCAAGGGGAGCUGCCAGACUCCCCGAAUUAUGCAGAGGGUGCUGAGGGUCCGGGGAGACUAAGGUGGCCAAAGCCUGCAGGUCGGACCUCCUGAGAGGAGAGAGCUCUAGAGCGAGGACUCAGAGGAUGUACGAGAGCCCCUCAGUCAGUCAGCAGGGCCCAUUCACUCCACUCCAGGCCAGAGAAGGAACCAUCCAGAAGAGCAGAGGGUCAGCGCCCGGUGCUCACACGGGAUCCAGAUACGGCCGUUCCCACCAGCCAGGCUGCAAAGCCUCAUGAUUCGUGGGACUCUGGUGGGGGGGGGGGCGGAAACACAGAAUAACUACACCCCACAUGUACACUGUUCCAGUGCCACCUAACUAAUCCUAAAGUCAAGACCUGAAAGGAUCACUCUGCCACCCAGGACAAAGCUCCAGAAUAUUUACAGGAAUACAAAAUACCCAGUAUCCAACCCAGUAAAAUGGACAAUGUCUAGCAUCCAACAAAUAUUAUGAGGCAUGAGAAGCAGGAAAAUAUAAUCCCAUAAUAAAGAGAAAAAUGAACCAAUUGAAACGGACCCAGAUGACAGAAAUGGUAGACAAGGAUGCUGGAAGAGCUAUCUGCCAGUACAAGUAAGGACCAAAGGCUAAUUUUCUCCAUCCCUUUAUUUCCCUUAUAAGUUUAUAUGACAUCAAUAAUGGUGUAGUUUUAUUAUAUAUGCUUAAUAGCCACCUACAAAGAUAAAUCCAUUUAUUCAAAGUGAGGUAUUCUCCUUGUCCUUGCAAAAUAAAGUCACAUUAAAAUGAAUACAUGUGUUUUUCACCAGGCCUCACAAAGAAGCAAAUCACACAGCAUGAAGCUGCUGGAUUGUUCUACCCCAGAAACGGAAGGAUUUAUGAGCUAUUCAACGGCUUUCACUUGUCUCACUUCCAACAUGUUCCUGGCAGGCGGGAGACAGAGCCUGUGGGGACCUGGGAAGCAGUUUAACCUCCUUGUAGCUGGGAGUUCAAGGAACUUAGCGUGAGCUGGGUUUGGGGUCCGCAGCGCUACCUGGAGAAGAUGAACCGAGAAUCUGCUUGCGUAUCUCUGCUUGGCUCCGGCUGAUGGGCUGCAUGACGACUUCAAUAAAUAUGGGAGCUCUGCAUCAUCUACUGAAAUACAAAUGCCACUUCUCAAAGCGCUAUACCGCUGACUCGUGUGCCGCGUGGAGAAAAGGAUGAUCAACCGACAGUGCUGCAUUUCCUCAAGGUUCUGUUCAAAUUGACUGUGAUCCCAGGGGUCUCAUCUUUAUCCCAUAUGCUGGGCUUUUCCCGUCCUGUCAGCUCACACAAAGAGUGCAGAUGGCGCUAACAGUGAUUUUUCUUAGGCGUAGUUUAAAGGUUACAAGAUGGUGAAGUGAUAAGGAACAACACACUGUAAACAUGCAGGGCUCCAAGCCUCAAUUAAGCACAAGAGCCAGGGGAGCGCGCAGUUGCGGGUAUUAAUUCACAGCAGGUGAGGGGCUAAGUGAGCAGUGCGAGAAAAUGUGAGGCACCUAAUGUUCACCAAGCCAAACAUGAGAGUGUUUCUGCAACUUUAAACGGAUUUCCUAAGAGAAAAAGCGACCGUUAGUACUCUUCGGUCAGACUGCUUGGGUUUGUUUUCCUAUGACAUUCAGUUGCUAUGGCAGAUUUUAAAGUUUUAUAUAGAAAUCAAGAAAGCUUCAAACAGCAUGGGGAAAAAUGAUCAACAGCUGUUAACAUGGAUUUCGGAGCAAGACAAAACUUUCCAAAAGACAAAUUCCAAGACCAUAGGAGAGUGUUAACCCUGACAUAAGUAGUAAAAAAGAAAAAAGUCCAUCAGCAUAUACUGAACUAUGUUCCGCUUUUUAGGUGGCAGAUGGGGAAAAGAAACCCAGAUAACACCUGUGGAAUUUGGGGCUGAACUGUGAGGAAAAACACUGGUUCCCAGAGAAGGUAUGCUCCAGCCCGCAGAACUGCUGCCCCACCCGCUGGGCAGCCUGCUGGGAGCCUCUGGACAAGGAGAACCACCCCCCCACAGAGAUUCCAGUGCUGGACCCGGGCCACAGCAGCAGCCCCUGCCAAAAUGACGAGUCCUCAUUCUCAGAGGCUCAGAAUUGCAAAAUCCGCCCAGAGCUUUCACUACACCAUCACGUUCAUGACUUUCAGGACUGAUGGUUUCUUAAUAGGAAAUGGCUUUCUGGUCUGACUUCAAGGAAGAUUAUAUAAUUUUCUAAGCCCUGUGGAUUUUACAGUUUCUACCACUAUCCUAGGUAAAAAUGCAUCUUCUGAAGUCUGACAAUUCAGAAGUCACUAUGCCAUUAAUUAUAGCUUAUAUGAAACUUGUAAGAAUCAAAUACUUUAAGAAUCAAAUAUUACCCCCAAUUCUGUUAUGAGCUUUAUUUUUCAAAAAUCCAUUUUGGCAUUUUUGGUUACUCUGACUAAAGAUGACUACUCAUUCUAUCAGUCUUCAUUAUACUGUCCCCCACCCGAUCCACCCCGAAAUGUAUGCCUUCUUUUCACCGGGCAAUUCUAACUUUCAAAUGUUUCAGACUCUUCUAAUUCUGCCAUUCCUCCCUCCCUUAGGCUUCAGCCAGUUAUGCUGAGAACCUCUAACUGUUUUCAUAAAUCCUUCUUCUGUCUCCUUAAUCAUUUUGUUACUUCCCUCAGGACUUUCUUGAGUAUCUUGAAUCAUGCGGGAUUAGGGAAUGAUCAUAGAAUAAAUCAUUGUAAUCCGUAGAAGAUUUACUACUCAAGAAACUGUGUAUAAUCUACACAGGAAACAUGGAAAAUAUGCUGUAGUUAUCAUAUAUUUGAGAUUCUAAAUUACUUUCUUUAUGGAAACAGAUAAAACCUAAGUUGUGAGAAAACUGUCUAAAGUUCCCCAAACUAAAGGAUCAGUCAUCCUUUAUGCUUUGAGUAUAAAGCAGAAUAAAUACUCCUGAAGGUACUUGUGAAGGCGUGUGAAUACUUAAGACAAGGCUCUGGUAGAGAGCUGAGGUCCUUGUCUUUGUUCAGCUGGUGGC